CGCCAGCUGCCCAGGCAGUUCCUAUCCCUUUCGGAGCUCCAGCCUGCCCCUCCUGACGCUCUCAGAGUCUGGCCUUCUGCUGGGCCCCGGGUCUCUCACUGGCAGAAUGGAGUUCUCGGAGCUGAUCCAUACGGGCUGAGCCCAAGCAGAGUUUCUACGGGGCCCGGAGGCGCCCCCGCUUCGCGGCACGGUGUGAGUCACCGUCCACCACCUGCUCCUGUCGCCAGGGCCCGCGUCCUCUCCGGACCUGUGGCUGCUGCUGUUGCGUAGCGUCGACUCCUUCGAGAAGCAGUGAGACGUGGCGGGGUGGGGGAGGGUCCCCGGGGUUGGGGAGCGCGCGGCUUGGCGGAGUAGGGGGCACGGCCAGCGCAGUCAGAGCUGGCGCCCUCCUGCGUAAGCCCAAUCCGGGAAACUCGUUGCCCCUCUCCUGGGAAAGGAACGUCCCUCCCCAGGGUUGCGAGUGACUCGGGCACCAUCACCCUGUGCUGUAAAGACCUGCGAGUGCUGCAGCUGGAAAUAGAGGGCGCGGAAGCGACGCUGGGCAUCGCCCGCUCCAUCGAGACCAACGCGUGGCGGCUGAGCGAGGUGAACGAGGACUUCAGCUUGUGCCCCAGAUACCCCCGUGCGGUGAUCGUGCCAUACUUGGUGGACGAUGAUGCCCUGGCGCGCAGCGCCCGCUUCCGUCAGGGAGGUCGCUUCCCGGUGCUCAGCUACCACCCGGCUCCCAGCGGCAGAGGGAGCGCGCCCUCCCCACGCUCCGCCCCUGGGUGGCUGCGUCCUUUCUGGGCCUUUUCUUUUUGGCCCGGUCAAUUCGCGGCGUAGCCGCUGCCCCAACUCCUGCCCCAUUCUGGUCCCGCCCCUCUCCCGCCUUUUCGCUGGGAAGGGUAUCACCUUUCUCUGGCCCCGCCCCUGACGGUUCCGGGCCCCGCGAAGCUUAGUCCCUUCUUUGUCAAGCCAGGACCCGCCCACGGUCUAUUCAUAGGGUCCCAAACCACUUUGGCCACAACACCCCCAGACUGGUCCGAAGCCUCGUGAGUUCGCCCUGGUCGUUGCACUCCAGCCUGUCGCUGUGCAGACCUGGCUUAGAGGACCCCUAAGGCUGAGGGGUCACUUCCAGAACUGAGUCCGGUCCGCAGGUUCUGCUACGCUCCAGCCAGCCCCUAACUGGUCCCCAGAAGCGGCGCUGCUACAGGGACCAGGAGCUGCUGCGAACUGCGCUGGCGGGGGCUCGUCCUUGGGCGCGGGGCUUCAUCAUGGACACGCUCUCGGCCCAGGCCGCGAAACAAGCCCGCGUGACUGGCGGAGGCACAGAGACCAAGGCCGCUUAACCUGGCUGGUUGCACUGGUCCCUGGAGAGCACUGAGCACAGGGGCUGCCACAGUGGCCGGCUCAGACAUGGCAGAGAUCAGCAGAGAAUGGGCAAUCAGGCUCCCCUGAGAUGAGCAGCAGCGCAGAGGAGGUGCCCCUCUCUUACUACACCAACUUCAGAGGGCGUCCCCUGCAGGAGAGCUUCAUGCGCCUGGUGGAGGCCUGUGGGGACUCGGAGCAAAGCAUGGACAACUGGCUGAGUCGGCUGGACGGCUGCCGCUGACUGUAACAUGUAAAGCAGGCACUGAGCACCACCUGCCUGGCAGUCCAGGGCAUGGAGAGGCACAGACAGCACCCUGCUUGUGACUUCACUGGCCCAACUCAUCCUGGACCCCUUGAGCAAGACCAUGGCUGGAUUCCAGGAACUGGUGGAGUGGAAGUGGAUCCAGGAAAAUGCCGUGUGAAGGGAGGACUCAGAUGCACUCCCUGUGGUCUGGGCUCAACCAGCCAAAAGAGCAACAAAGACUCCAGAACCCACUCUACCUCCUCAAUCCCUUGGCCAUCUGUGGAGCCCCAGAGCCUGCGGCUGUGGCAAGGCCUGUUUCUGCGCUGGACCUGCUCACCUGAGCCUGCAGAAGCUGCAUGGGGGAAGAGUGUGGCAAAUAGUGACAGGAAGGGAGAAGACAGAAGCCUCUCAGCCAACUGCUUCAGCCGAGCCCCUAUUCUAAGCACUGGCUCCUUGGAUAGCAGCUGAGAUGUUCCUGAAACCUCUGCAGGCCCCUUAGGACCUUUACACCUUGGAUGAGGGUGCCUGCAACCCAGGUUAGCCAAAAGUACUGAGGGUCUUAAGUUUGAAGUGUCCAAAGUAUAGGGAGGUCUCAAUAAUAAAAGUCUCCAUGAUCAGCA
RNAcentral lists this long non-coding RNA (2214 nucleotides) under Homo sapiens (human). RNAcentral describes it as "non-protein coding lnc-TMEM234-3:3". The record is from RNAcentral. Lineage: Eukaryota; Metazoa; Chordata; Mammalia; Primates; Hominidae.